GGUCAUAUCGCCGCGUUGACUAGAUAACGAAGGACAAUGCAUAUAUACAAAAUUGCUGUAUUGCCUGGUGAUAUGCAGCUGUACCUGUGACAUCAUAAUUGCACCCUCCGACAUGAUAUCUCUUCCAAAUGCUUGAUGAAAAAGGUGGGAGGAUCACUUGAGCCAGGGAGUUGAAGGCUGCAGUGAGCCCUGUUUUUGCCACCACACUCCAGCUUGGGAAGUGAGGAGCGUCUCUGCCUGGCCACCCAUUGUCUGAGAUGUGAGGAGCCUCUCUGCCCGGCUGCCCAGUCUGGGAAAUGAGG
RNAcentral lists this long non-coding RNA (302 nucleotides) under Homo sapiens (human). RNAcentral's name for it is "non-protein coding lnc-ZNF611-5:3". The record is from RNAcentral. Lineage: Eukaryota; Metazoa; Chordata; Mammalia; Primates; Hominidae.